AGUUUUCUACCGUGAAAGAGCAGCCGGAAUGUACUCAGAACUGCCUUAUGCAUUUGCUCAGGUUGCUAUAGAGUCAAUAUAUGUUGCAUCCCAGACAUUAAUCUACAGUUUAUUGCUUUACUCAAUGAUUGGGUUCCCUUGGAAAGCUGAAAACUUCUUGUGGUUCUACUUCUUCAUAUUCAUGUGCUUUAUGUACUUCACAUUGUAUGGAAUGAUGCUUGUGGCUCUCACUCCAGGUCAUCAAAUUGCUGCCAUUGUUAUGUCUUUCUUCCUCAGCUUCUGGAACCUGUUCUCUGGCUUCCUCAUCCCGAGGACGCAAAUACCAAUAUGGUGGAGAUGG
RNAcentral lists this unclassified non-coding RNA (340 nucleotides) under Hevea brasiliensis (rubber tree). Lineage: Eukaryota; Viridiplantae; Streptophyta; Magnoliopsida; Malpighiales; Euphorbiaceae. The record is from RNAcentral.